CCUACGGGGGGCUGCAGUGAGGAAUAUUGCGCAAUGGAGGCAACUCUGACGCAGCCAUGCCGCGUGCAGGAAGAAGGCGCUACGCGUUGUAAACUGCUUUUAAUCGGGAAGAAACCCCGGGACGUGUCCCGGGUUGACGGUACCGAUGGAAUAAGCACCGGCUAACUUCGUGCCAGCAGCCGCGGUAAUACGAAGGGUGCAAGCGUUAUCCGGAUUCAUUGGGUUUAAAGGGUGCGUAGGCGGAACAAUAAGUCAGCGGUGAAAGCCUGCAGCUUAACUGCAGAACUGCCGUUGAUACUGUUGUUCUUGAGUACGUUUGACGUGGGCGGAAUGUGCCGUGUAGCGGUGAAAUGCUUAGAUAUGGCACAGAACACCGAUAGUGAAGACAGCUCACGAAGACGAAACUGACGCUGAGGCACGAAAGCGUGGGGAGCGAACAGGAUUAGAUACCCCUGUAGUC
RNAcentral lists this ribosomal RNA (460 nucleotides) under uncultured Bacteroidota bacterium. RNAcentral's name for it is "bacterial SSU rRNA". It matches the Rfam family "Bacterial small subunit ribosomal RNA", at positions 338 to 795 of the family's 1533-position model. Lineage: Bacteria; Pseudomonadati; Bacteroidota. The record is from RNAcentral.